Molecule: long non-coding RNA, 837 nt
Organism: Vespula pensylvanica (western yellowjacket)
Lineage: Eukaryota; Metazoa; Arthropoda; Insecta; Hymenoptera; Vespidae
Exons: 2
Source: RefSeq, a predicted model, not a curated record
ACGAAAUGCAUAUUGAAAGAAUAUUGUAGUACAAAGGAACAACAAAAGAUACAACUGUUAUCGAGUCAGAGAUAAGAAGUUAGUAAAAUUUUCUCUAACAAGAAGCAAUUAUACAGAAAAACAACAUUCAUUUGAAAUACUCAUCAUCUGGGAAAUUGGACAAAAACUUGUUAAAUAUUGGUUCGAAGAUGUAUUCUUCGCAGAAGUUGAAAGGUUAUCGUCAAAAUCUGCAAUGCUAAUUGCUUGAUUUGGAUUCAACUUCCUAGGAAUGGAAAAAGAGCUAAAUAUAGCUAGAAGACAAAUCCCAUUACGAAAACAUGUAUUACAAAUAUAUAGUCGACAUGAUAUCUUAAAAAAUUUUUUCCGGAUUCUGGACUAUCUCCUUCGAAUGGUGCAGAGUUUUCUAAGAAAGCUCCUUUACGAGACCACUGAAGAACCCCGCAGAAAAGAUAUCACCGGGGGAUCCAUUCAGGGAUCUAUCCUGGUCCUAUGAAAAGUCUUCUAUGGAUGAAAACCUGCACAUGGACAUGCCAGAGGGAUCUAUUUAGUCGGCUACGCGGAUAACAUCGUCGUAGUAAUAAAUUGGUAAGAAAGAUUAAAUAUUAUCAGAGAAAUAAAGAAAAAUCCAACAAUAAGUGAUCCAAAAUUGGCUGUGUUUCAUUUAAUCCUUUACACUCGGGUGUCUCCUCUGAGAGGACAUCGUAAGUCUAGUAUAUCACUCAGAGGGGACAUCAGAGUUGAUUAGUGUUAUGAUGGAUUAACUAACACUAUCGCAACUUUUUGAAAAAUGCAUGUUUCUCUGAUGUUUUCUAUUAAAAUGGCAUAAAAAAUCGUAUU